CUACGGGAGGCAGCAGUGGGGAAUAUUGGACAAUGGGCGAAAGCCUGAUCCAGCCAUGCCGCGUGUGUGAAGAAGGCCUUCGGGUUGUAAAGCACUUUCAGUGGGGAAGAAAGCCUUGGGGCUAAUACCCUCGAGGAAGGACAUCACCCACAGAAGAAGCACCGGCUAACUCCGUGCCAGCAGCCGCGGUAAUACGGAGGGUGCGAGCGUUAAUCGGAAUUACUGGGCGUAAAGCGCGCGUAGGCGGUCUGAUAAGCCGGUUGUGAAAGCCCCGGGCUCAACCUGGGAACGGCAUCCGGAACUGUCAGGCUAGAGUGCAGGAGAGGAAGGUAGAAUUCCCGGUGUAGCGGUGAAAUGCGUAGAGAUCGGGAGGAAUACCAGUGGCGAAGGCGGCCUUCUGGACUGACACUGACGCUGAGGUGCGAAAGCGUGGGUAGCAAACAGGAUUAGAUACCCUGGUAGUC
This 464-nucleotide ribosomal RNA is filed under the name Vreelandella stevensii. RNAcentral describes it as "partial 16S ribosomal RNA". It matches the Rfam family "Bacterial small subunit ribosomal RNA", at positions 339 to 795 of the family's 1533-position model. The record is from RNAcentral. Lineage: Bacteria; Pseudomonadati; Pseudomonadota; Gammaproteobacteria; Oceanospirillales; Halomonadaceae.